GGUGGAUGCCUUGACUGUAAGAGGCGAUGAAGGACGUAUUAGGCUGCGAUAAGCCUCGGGGAGCUGCCAAAGAGCUUUGAUCCGAGGAUUUUCCGAAUGGGGCAACCCAGCAUAUAGAGAUAUAUGUUACCCUACGGGGAGCGAACCUGGUGAAGUGAAACAUCUCAGUAGCCAGAGGAAGAGAAAUCAAAUGAGAUUCCCAUAGUAGCGGCGAGCGAACUGGGAUUAGGACAAACCCAAUGCUUGCAUUGGGGGUUGUAGGACUAUAAUGUGUAAUUAAAAGAGAAUAGAUGAAUUAGUUGGAAAACUAGAGCAUAGAAGGUGAUACUCCUGUAAUUAAAAUUCUCAAUAAUACUAAUAGUAUCCUGAGUAGGUCGGAACACGUGAUAUUUUGACUGAAGCUGGGGGACCACCCUCAAUCCUAAAUACUACUUACAGAUCGAUAGUGAACAAGUACCGUGAGGGAAAAGGUGAAAAGUAACUGCAGCGAG
RNAcentral lists this ribosomal RNA (491 nucleotides) under uncultured bacterium. RNAcentral's name for it is "bacterial LSU rRNA". It matches the Rfam family "Bacterial large subunit ribosomal RNA", at positions 23 to 533 of the family's 2925-position model. The record is from RNAcentral.